Molecule: small nuclear RNA, 154 nt
Organism: Medicago truncatula (barrel medic)
Lineage: Eukaryota; Viridiplantae; Streptophyta; Magnoliopsida; Fabales; Fabaceae
Product: U1 spliceosomal RNA
Exons: 1
Source: RefSeq, a predicted model, not a curated record
AUACUUACCUCGAUGGGGUCAAUGGAUGAUCAUAAAGCCUCAUAACCUGAGAAAAUGACCUCGGAUGGAUUUUUGGAAGGGGUGUUAUCCUAAAAUCAACUCAAAUAAUGAAAUCUACAUCAUGUUUUCUUGCAGUUGUCAUGCGAACGACGAU